GGGAGAUGAGAUUGUAGCCCAGACAUUUAAAUUUUCAGAUAACUUAUUAUUUGAGCGGUAUCAUUUUUCUUACCAGU
This is a long non-coding RNA of Etheostoma spectabile (orangethroat darter), 77 nucleotides long. RefSeq lists it as uncharacterized. The record is from RefSeq and is a predicted model, not a curated record. The transcript is spliced from 3 exons. Lineage: Eukaryota; Metazoa; Chordata; Actinopteri; Perciformes; Percidae.